UGAUGCAAUGUCUCUUCGUCUUCCGUGCGAAGGCUGUAAAAAAUCUUCCGUGCGAAGGCUGUAGAAAAGAACCAAGACCAGCGUAACUCUUGCUAGCGUCGCACACCCUGCCGUCUUCCAUCCAACACCCAAGAGGCCAAAUUCGCUUUCCUUGGGCCAUCAGCGGAUCACCCUCGCCGCCGUUUCUUUGCCACGGCUCCCUACCGACGGAGGCCUGCAAAAUAAGGAGCAAACAAAAGUGAAGGCUAGAGAUAACCACAAAAGAUGAACAUCACCUUCCUAGCAAACGUAAAACCAGGACCAUUGAACUACAUCAUAUGUGUCAGAGUCUCAAGAAUGUGGGAGUUUAGGGGAAGAGAUGAAGAAAAUGAGAUUAGGCACCUUGACCUUGUGGUUAUUGAUCAAAAGGGUUAUUCCAUGUACGCUGAAAUACCACCGGAUGCAAUACCACUACUACAACCAACAUCUACAAGAGGGGAAAAUUGUUUAUAUGACAAAGAUAACAAUCCACAAUGCAAAACAAGGAUACAGACCUGUUGAAAGCCCUUACAUGAUCCGGCUCAACAUAAGAACACAGAUUGCACAACUUCAAGAUGAGCCAUCAGACUUUCCAAAAUAUGCAUUCUCAUUAGCGCCUUUUCCCAAUCUAUAUCAACACGCAGGAAAUACAGAGAAAUUUCUAGAUGUCAUUGGUAGAAUUCUAGCUGUGUCAAAUACAGCAAGAGUACUAACAAGUUCUGGAACUUUAAAAUGGAAGAGAAUCAUUCAUCUAGGGGAUCUGAGUGGAAACAUGAUCGAGCUAUCACUUUGGGGUCCAAGAGCUCUGGAAUUUCAGGGAGAAUCAGUCUACAACAUUGGUCAGAAGAACCAUGUUAUAGCUAUUUUUGUUGGAACUUCUAUGAAAUGCAUAAAAGAAAGUUCUUAUUUUCUAAGUGGCACAUCAGCAUGUCGUUGGUACAUCAAUGAAAAUGAUAUACCAGAAAUCAAAAUAUUCCAAAAGAGCUUACCAACUAUACCUGAUCAAGCUGUAAAGAAAAUUGACCUUCAGAGUGCAGAUGACAUUGAAAAGCAUAUUGAGCAGACCACAUGCCUGCAACUUAAAGAUAUUGAUCCUUUCGACAAACUGGGACAAAGGUAUGAAUGCACGGUUACAAUUACUGGUCUUGCAGAGAGGCAAUCUUGAUAUUAUCACGCUUGCAAAAUCUGUAAUUCAAGACAAAGAUUCAAUGGAAAGAGUUAUGAGUGCACAAAGCCAGGAUGUCCUUGCACACAAUAUGAGUACAAGUACAAAAUACCUCUUAUUGGAACCGAUAACACCUACAGCUUGGAAUUCAUGCUUUUCCAGCAAAGAGCAUUGCAGCUAAUUGGAAAAUCUGUAGACAAACUCUUAAAUGAUUAUGGUAAAAAUGAAACACCACCAGAGAUAACUUCAUUGGUUGGGCAAAAAUUCACCUUCAUUAUCAGAGUUUUGUCCAACAAGAGCAUCCAAAAGAGAGAACCAUCAUUUGAAGUCCUUAUGAUCAAACAGAGGUUUGGCAGACAAGCUAAUAUACCAGCAAUCAGCAAGGAGGAAAACCUCAGAACCACUUCAACCUCAACUUUUGAACUUGCUAAUCUACCACCUUUGGUCCCUAUAGCAAUAAACAAAAUGGAGAUACAGCACUCACCUUUUGAAUCACAGCUACCAGAAGAUAUCCAAUAUAUGGAAAUAGACAAAACUAGCACAUGGUGAAAAUACAAACAAAAGGAAUUUUAAAGACUUUGAAGAUAAUCAGCAGGACUCCAACGAUAGCAAUGACGACAAUACCCCUUUGAAACAAACUAAAAGAACACACUCGCAAGGGAAGAGCAAACAGUAAGGAUAUAUCGUCCUUCACAAUCUGAAACUACACAUGAAGUGGAUUGCUUUUGGGUACAAACUACCAGCUACGUUGGCUGGAUUGUUUUUGUUGUAUAUAGCACCUCUUAUGAAGAAUAGUCAGAGCAGAACAACAGAACUGCCAUCAUUACCCAUACAAGUGUUGGGUAGAUCUUUUGCUGUAAACGGUUUCUCAAAUAUAAACAAACAGGAGCUACCUUUUGUUGUAUAUAGCAGCUCCUAUGAAGAAUGGUCAGAGCAGGACAACAAAACUGCCAUCAUCACCGAUAGAACUGUUCGUUGCAUCUUUUGCUGUAAAUAGUUCCUAGAGGAUCAAUAUCCACCUUAUCAUUUGGUAACUCAUCUGUUUUACUGUGUUCGUCUCUCUCUUUGGUCGCCAUA
Molecule: long non-coding RNA, 2260 nt
Organism: Panicum virgatum (switchgrass)
Lineage: Eukaryota; Viridiplantae; Streptophyta; Magnoliopsida; Poales; Poaceae
Exons: 14
Source: RefSeq, a predicted model, not a curated record